AUACGUAGGUGGCGAGCGUUGUCCGGAAUGAUUGGGCGUAAAGGGCGCGUAGGCGGCCCGGUAAGUCUGGAGUGAAAGUCCUGUUUUUAAGAUGGGAAUUGCUUUGGAUACUGUCGGGCUUGAGUGCAGGAGAGGUAAGUGGAAUUCCCAGGGUAGCGGUGAAAUGCGUAGAGAUUGGGAGGAACACCAGUGGCGAAGGCGACCUACUGGACUGUAACUGACGCUGAGGCGCGAAAGUGUGGGGAGCAAACAGGAUUAGAUACCCUGGUAGUCCACACUGUAAACGAUGAAUGCUAGGUGUAGGGGGUAUUGACCCCUUCUGUGCCGCAGUCAACACAAUAAGCAUUCCGCCUGGGGAGUACGGCCGCAAGGUUGAAACUCAAAGGAAUUGACGGGG
RNAcentral lists this ribosomal RNA (397 nucleotides) under uncultured bacterium. Its description in RNAcentral is "partial 16S ribosomal RNA". It matches the Rfam family "Bacterial small subunit ribosomal RNA", at positions 523 to 918 of the family's 1533-position model. The record is from RNAcentral.